UUAAAAAAAACUAUACUCUCCUGUCAUGCCUUUUGAAAGAGGAUGUCGACAAAAUACAAAAUAGUAAUCGUCGGCGAUGGAGGCGUCGGAAAGUCGAGUCUGACAAUCAUGUACACAAGUAACUACUUUGUCGAGGAUUAUGACCCGACAAUUGGUAUGGAACUAAUUAAUUUCUAGAACACGCAUCCGGUAAUUUCUAUAUCACACUCCUCAGAUGCAUUUGGUUGCACGAAGGGCUAACCCUCGCGUGCGUCUCGUGUUUGCCUCGAAAAACAAAGAAAAUGUACAACAGGCAAACGUUUGUAUUAAUGGCAACUACUACAUUCUGGAACUCUUGGACACUGCCGGACAGGGCGAAUAUUGCACCCUGCAAGGUCAAUAUAUUCGAGACGGACAGGGAAUACUUUUGGUUUACGCCAUCAACAGCAGGAAGAGCUUCUCAAAGGCGGAAGAGCUUGUGCACAGCAUUUUGGAAAUGACCGACGGGAACGAGUAUCCUGUCGUCAUUCUGGGCAACAAGUCGGAUCUGAAGAACGAAAGAACCGUGCCCACUUACGAAGGCAUCAAUCUGGCCGAGUCGUUCAACUUUGGCUUUCUCGAAACUUCUGCUAAAGAAAGAAUCAACGUGGACGAAGCAUUCCAGACACUCGUGACGAACAUCCGUAAAAUAGAACAGAAAAAUAAAUUGGAACUAUCACCCGCCAAAAAAACGGGGCGAGUUUGUUGUACCACUCUUU
This is a long non-coding RNA of Schistocerca gregaria, 737 nucleotides long. RefSeq lists it as uncharacterized. The record is from RefSeq and is a predicted model, not a curated record. NCBI's taxonomy places the organism in Eukaryota, Metazoa, Arthropoda, Insecta, Orthoptera, Acrididae. The transcript is spliced from 5 exons.